GUGCUCGCUUCGGCAACACAUAUAAUAAAAUUGGAACGAUACAGAGAAGAUUAGCAUGGCGCCCCGCAAGGAUGACACGCAAAUUCAUGAAACGUUCCAUAUUUUU
This is a small nuclear RNA of Thamnophis elegans (Western terrestrial garter snake), 106 nucleotides long. Lineage: Eukaryota; Metazoa; Chordata; Lepidosauria; Squamata; Natricidae. The record is from RefSeq and is a predicted model, not a curated record.